RNAcentral lists this ribosomal RNA (520 nucleotides) under uncultured Entrophospora. RNAcentral's name for it is "SSU rRNA". It matches the Rfam family "Eukaryotic small subunit ribosomal RNA", at positions 569 to 1088 of the family's 1831-position model. The record is from RNAcentral. Lineage: Eukaryota; Fungi; Glomeromycota; Glomeromycetes; Entrophosporales; Entrophosporaceae.
AGCAGCCGCGGUAAUUCCAGCUCCAAUAGCGUAUAUUAAAGUUGUUGCAGUUAAAAAGCUCGUAGUUGAAUUUCGGGAUUGGCGCAUCGGUCGUGCCUCACGGGGUAUGAACUGGUGCAGUCAAUUUCUCACCUUCUGGAGAACCGCGAUGUCCUUAAUUGGAUGCCGCGGGGAACCAGGACCUUUACUUGAAAAAUUAGAGUGUUUAAAGCAGGCAUUUUUGCUUGAAUACAUUAGCAUGGAAUAAUAAAAUAGGACGGCAUGGUUCUAUUUUGUUGGUUUCUAGGACCACCGUAAUGAUUAAUAGGGAUAGUUGGGGGCAUUAGUAUUCAAUUGUCAGAGGUGAAAUUCUUGGAUUUAUUGAAGACUAACUACUGCGAAAGCAUUUGCCAAGGAUGUUUUCAUUAAUCAAGAACGAAAGUUAGGGGAUCGAAGACGAUCAGAUACCGUCGUAGUCUUAACCAUAAACUAUGCCGACUAGGAAUCAGACGAUGUUAAUUUUUAUGACUCGUUGGCACCU